AAAUGCUGGCGAAGUUGCUCGAUCCGUUU
This 29-nucleotide small RNA is filed under the name Bombyx mori (domestic silkworm). RNAcentral's name for it is "ovarian small RNA-10157". Lineage: Eukaryota; Metazoa; Arthropoda; Insecta; Lepidoptera; Bombycidae. The record is from RNAcentral.